GACGAACGCUGGCGGCGUGCUUAACACAUGCAAGUCGAACGGAAAGGCCCUGCUUUUGUGGGGUGCUCGAGUGGCGAACGGGUGAGUAACACGUGAGUAACCUGCCCUUGACUUUGGGAUAACUUCAGGAAACUGGGGCUAAUACCGGAUAGUAGCUCCUGCUGCAUGGUGGGGGUUGGAAAGUUUCGGCGGUUGGGGAUGGACUCGCGGCUUAUCAGCUUGUUGGUGGGGUAGUGGCUUACCAAGGCUUUGACGGGUAGCCGGCCUGAGAGGGUGACCGGCCACAUUGGGACUGAGAUACGGCCCAGACUCCUACGGGAGGCAGCAGUGGGGAAUAUUGCACAAUGGGCGGAAGCCUGAUGCAACAACGCCGCGUGCGGGAUGACGGCCUUCGGGUUGUAAACCGCUUUCGCCUGUGACGAAGCGUGAGUGACGGUAAUGGGUAAAGAAGCACCGGCUAACUACGUG
Molecule: ribosomal RNA, 468 nt
Filed under: uncultured bacterium
Lineage: Bacteria
Description: partial 16S ribosomal RNA
Rfam family: Bacterial small subunit ribosomal RNA
Source: RNAcentral